This 4334-nucleotide long non-coding RNA is filed under the name Sus scrofa (pig). RNAcentral describes it as "lncRNA (ENSSSCG00015029648.1)". Lineage: Eukaryota; Metazoa; Chordata; Mammalia; Artiodactyla; Suidae. The record is from RNAcentral.
UUUUUUUUUUUUUUUUUUUGGCCAGGCAGAAUUUCCCAGGCCAGGGACUGAAUGUACACCACAGCAGUAACGAUGCUGGAUCCUUAGCCAUUAGGCCACCAGGGAACUCCUAAAAGGCUAUUUCAAACCUCCUCCACUUUACCCAAGCCUUGGAGCCCACUACCUCCCGCUUCUCCUCCUCCACUCCAAAAAUCUCACCUCCUGCUUCAGAGAGAAUGAAGCCAGAAUGCCUUCUGCUUCCUCCUUCCUCUAUCCUCAAGCCAACAUGCAGCCCAGAUCAGGAGUCCAUCCAUUCCUGACUUCCCAGCACAGACUCUGCUCUGUUAACUCUCUCUUCUGCCCUCAAACCCACCUCUCUUACCAGCUCCACCCCACCAUCACUUGAACAUGCAAGAGUGCCAUCUUGGAAAAAAAAAAAAAUCCUUCUUCAAACCUAGAGCCUGCUCUAUCAUUCUUUUCUUCACAGCCAAGCUUUCUAAGACAUCUCUCCCAUCGUCUCUCCCUCCACUAACUAGGGCUUCUUUCUCCGAACCCCCAGUGAAACUCACACCAGCACGGUCUCCGCUACCAGAUUCCACCAAUACAUUUCAGAUCCCCUUCCCUUACUCCCCCAGACCACCCUCUCUCAGCUUCCUAGGGUCACACCCACUCCUGAUUUUCCUUACUUCUGGCUAGCCAACCUCCUCCCUCCCCGACCAACCCAUUCACUGCUUUUCAAACUCUACGUCUUCAACCUGCAUCAGGAAAUAAACUCAGAGCAGGGUUUUCCAACCUGGGCACUGCUGACAUUUCAGCUGCCUGAUUCUUUGUUGUGGGGGCCAUCCUUCCCAUGCCUUAUAAGCUGCUUAGUAGCAUUCCAGGCGUCUACUCAUUCAAUGCCAGUCAUGACCACAAACACAUCUUCAGACAUGGCCAAACUGGCAUCCCUCCCAUGUGAGAACCACUAGCUUAGAGGGUUACAACCCAACUACCUUUUUUUUAAAGAAAAUGAAAUAAAAAAGAAACUACCAGAGUAUAUAUCUCCUAAAAAAAAUACGACCUUUCAUGACACUUCUGUCUCUAUGUUUUGUUGCAUCUGUUUCUGUGUAUACAUGCAGAAUAUAAAGUAUUUCUUUCUGUGGGUCAGAGUCAGAACACUUUAAAUCCCACUGAUUCACAUGUUGGUGGCCCCAAGGUUCUGUCCUGGGCUCCCUUCCUUUUAAAAUCACCCAGCUGUGCAAAAAGGAAUAAAGAGGGGUUGCCUGGUGGCUCAGUGGGUUAAAGAUCUGGCAUUGUCACUGCUGGGGCUCGGGUCACUGCUAUGGCACAGGCUUGAUCCCUGGCCCAGGAACUUUCGCAUGCUGUGGGAGCAGCUAAAAAAAUAAAAAUAAAAAUUCAGACUCAACAAAAGUGAUUUAAAAAAAAAAAAAAAAGGCACAGAGGAGUUCCCAUCGUGGUACAGCAGGAACGAACCCCACUAGGAACCAUAAGGUUGUGGGUUCAAUCCCUGGCCUCGCUCAGUGGGUUAAGGAUCUGGCAUUGCCGUGAGCUGUGGCGUAGGUCGCAGACGCGGCUCAGAUCCUGCGUUGCUGUGGCUCUGGUGUAGGCCAGCAGCUGUAGCUCCGACUGGACCCCCUAGCCUGGGAACCUCCAUAUGUGCUGGGUUCGGCCUAAAAAGGUAAAAAAUAAAUUAAAUAAAUAAGUAAAUAAAUAAAUAUUUUAAAAGGCAUAAAGAGACAAACAAUAAACAGUCACACACUCAGCACCUGCUCAAGAAAACAAAGCAUUCUCAACCUGAUGACGGUACACAACCUGGGAGGUACCCCUCCCACACUCCUGGAGGAAACCACAACUCUAAUUUGGCAUUUUUCCCCUAACCAAUCUUACUAUAUUUGGAUGUGAGUCCUCAAAUGAUGUAUAAUAACACCAUGUCGCUCAGUUUACAAUAUUUUAGAACACCACGUUUUAUGCACUCUUCUGCAAUUGGCUUUUUUCCCGCUAAUAUGUUUGUGGGAUUCAUGCACAUUUGCACCUGCUGUUCUAAAUCACGAUUUAUUCACUUGUUCAUUCUUUGGUUGAUAGACACUUGCACUGCCCCCAUACCUGCAUGUGUAUAAUCAAUGCUGUGAUUAACUUUGAUGUGCGUCUAUUCUGUGCAAAUAUAUGACAGAGCUACUUGGCUUUGUGCUGGGGAUUAGAAUUACAGCCGUCCUAUAGGGUGUGCUCAUUAUGACCACUGCAUCAAACAAUUUGUUUUCUAUGGAGGUUGUACUCAUUUACAUUCCAAUCAGCAGAGGUUAGAGUACCCACUGCUUCACACCCUUGCCAUCACUUGUUGCUGAGAAUUGUUUUUGCUUUUUGUGGACAGAAAGGGUGUAGAAUUGUGUCAUUAUGGUUUUUUUUUUUUUUUAGAUUUGAUGUGGGUAUAAUUGAUUUACAACAUAUUAGCUUCACAUUUACAGCAAAGUGAAUCAGUUAUACAUCUACAAACAUCAGUUCUUUUUUCCAUAUAGGUUAUUACAGAAUAUUGAGGAGACCUUCCUGUGCUACACAGUAGGUCCUUGAUUGUCAUGCAUCUUAUAUAUAGCCAUGUGUAUGUAUGUGUUAAGCCCAUCCUCCCAAUUUAUUACCCCCCCCUGGUNUAAGCCCAUCCUCCCAAUUUAUUACCCCCCCCAAUGGUUUUCCCUUUUGGUAACCCUAAGUUUGAGUUGGAAAUCUGUGAGUUUGUUUCUGUUUUAUAAAUAAGUUAUUUGCAAUAAAUAUUUAUUAGAUUCCUCAGAUAAGUGAUCUCAUAUAAUUGUCUUUCUCUGUCUGACUUACUUAGUAUGAUCAUCCCCAGGUCCAUUCAUGUUGCUGUAAAUGGCAUUAUUUCCUUCCUUCUUAUGGCUGAGUAAUAUUCCAUCACAUAAGCACCACAUCAUCUUUAUCCAGUCCUCUGUCAAUGGACACUUAGGUUGCUUCCAUGUCUUGACUAUUGUACAUAGUACUGCAAUGAAUGUUAUGGUGUGAACUGCAUUUCUCUCAUGACCAGUACUGCGGACAGAGCUUGAUGAGUUUAGUGGCUAUUUCUGUUUCCCCUUCCCCAUAUUUUAUCAUGUGUACAUUUUUUAUUAGGAUGUUACCGCUGUCUAUUGAUAUUUAUCAGUUCUUCCGUAUAUGCUGAAGCCAAGCACUGCACCAAUGGGAAAGCAUCAUCAUAUCUGCUCCCCAACUGUGGGUAGGUCUUUCUCCCCUCCCUGGCCAUCUCCUCCGUUACCUUCUCCAUGGUAACCGCUGUCUCUCCUUACCUGCUGGCCAGAUUGCUUCUGCAGCCUCCAGAUUCACAGCCAUCUGCCUUCUGGCCCUGUGUCCUGCUGCCAAGUAUCUCAAACUCAACUGUCCCAAACCAAAUCUGUUACUCUCUCCCCACUCUGCACACCCUGUAUUCAUUCUCUGGCUGAGAAAAAACACUGCCAUUCAUUCCCCCAAUCAGGGAUCCUUUUUCUUCUCUUGUCUCCGUCUUAUUCAUCACCUAGUCCUGUUAAUUCAACUUCCUCGUUAAAGGGAUUCUUUUCACUGCCAUCUACUGCCAAGAUUAAAUUACCUUAUUUCUGAACACUUUCAUCUCUCAGUUGGACUGUAUUCCAUGGCCUCCCUGUUCCCAGCCCUUCGACUGCAAUAUAUUCUGUAAAAAAGACAGCCAGGUCUAGUAAUCUCACUAUUAUAAUUACCCAAGAGAAAUGAAAAUAUACAUUAAAAAAACAGAUUUGUACAAGAAUGUUUAUGGCACUCUGAUCCGUCAAAUCCAAAAACUAAAAACAACCCAAAUGUCCAACAGAAGAGUGAAAACUUAACUGUGGUUCAUCCAUACAGUGGAGUGCUACUCAGCUAUAAAAAGGAGUGACUACUUAUAAAUGCAACGAUGUGGAUGAGUUUCAAAUGAUGCUGAUUCACAAAAGCCAGACCAAAAAACAAAAAAAAGGGAGUUUCCUGGUGGUGCAGUGGGUUAAGGUUCUAGUGUUGUCACUGCUGUAGCACAGGUUCGAGCCCUGGCCUGGGAACUUUCACAUGCUGCGGGUGUGACCAAAAAGUCAGAAAGUGGCUGCAGGAGUUCCCGUCGUGGCGCAGUGGUUAACGAAUCUGACCAGGAACCAUGAGGUUGCGGGUUCGGUCCCUGCCCUUGCUCAGUGGGUUAACGAUCUGGCGUUGCCGUGAGCUGUGGUGUAGGUUGCAGAUGCGGCUCGGAUCCCGAGUUGCUGUGGCUCUGGCGUAGGCCGGUGGCUACAGCUCCGAUUCGACCCAUAGCCUGGGAACCUCCAUAUACCGCGGGAGCGGCCCAAAGAAAUUGCAAAAAGACAAAAAAAAAAAAAAAAAAA